UAACGCGUGGGUAACCUGCCUUAUACAGGGGAGUAACAGUCAGAAAUGGCUGCUAAUACCGCAUAAGCGCACAGAGCUGCAUGGCUCAGUGUGAAAAACUCCGGUGGUAUAAGAUGGACCCGCGUUGGAUUAGCUGGUUGGUGGGGUAACGGCCCACCAAGGCGACGAUCCAUAGCCGGCCUGAGAGGGUGAACGGCCACAUUGGGACUGAGACACGGCCCAG
Molecule: ribosomal RNA, 223 nt
Filed under: uncultured bacterium
Lineage: Bacteria
Description: partial 16S ribosomal RNA
Rfam family: Bacterial small subunit ribosomal RNA
Source: RNAcentral